RNAcentral lists this ribosomal RNA (497 nucleotides) under uncultured bacterium. RNAcentral describes it as "partial 16S ribosomal RNA". It matches the Rfam family "Bacterial small subunit ribosomal RNA", at positions 28 to 507 of the family's 1533-position model. The record is from RNAcentral.
GACGAACGCUGGCGGCGUGCCUAAUACAUGCAAGUUGAGCGAUGAAGAUUGGUGCUUGCACCAAUUUGAAGAGCAGCGAACGGGUGAGUAACGCGUGGGGAAUCUGCCUUUGAGCGGGGGACAACAUUUGGAAACGAAUGCUAAUACCGCAUAACAACUUUAAACAUAAGUUUUAAGUUUGAAAGAUGCAAUUGCAUCACUCAAAGAUGAUCCCGCGUUGUAUUAGCUAGUUGGUGAGGUAAAGGCUCACCAAGGCGAUGAUACAUAGCCGACCUGAGAGGGUGAUCGGCCACAUUGGGACUGAGACACGGCCCAAACUCCUACGGGAGGCAGCAGAAGGGAAUCUUCGGCAAUGGACGAAAGUCUGACCGAGCAACGCCGCGUGAGUGAAGAAGGUUUUCGGAUCGUAAAACUCUGUUGGUAGAGAAGAACGUUGGUGAGAGUAGAAAGCUCAUCAAGUGACGUUAACUACCCAGAAAGGGACGGCUAACUACGUG